This 429-nucleotide ribosomal RNA is filed under the name Chloroflexota bacterium. RNAcentral's name for it is "Chloroflexi bacterium partial 16S ribosomal RNA". It matches the Rfam family "Bacterial small subunit ribosomal RNA", at positions 355 to 776 of the family's 1533-position model. Lineage: Bacteria; Bacillati; Chloroflexota. The record is from RNAcentral.
UGGGGAAUAUUGCACAAUGGGCGCAAGCCUGAUGCAGCCAUGCCGCGUGUGUGAAGAAGGCCUUCGGGUUGUAAAGCACUUUCAGCGGGGAGGAAGGCGGUGAGGUUAAUAACCUCAUCGAUUGACGUUACCCGCAGAAGAAGCACCGGCUAACUCCGUGCCAGCAGCCGCAGUAAUACGGAGGGUGCAAGCGUUAAUCGGAAUUACUGGGCGUAAAGCGCACGCAGGCGGUUUGUUAAGUCAGAUGUGAAAUCCCCGGGCUCAACCUGGGAACUGCAUCUGAUACUGGCAAGCUUGAGUCUCGUAGAGGGGGGUAGAGUUCCAGGUGUAGCGGUGAGAUGCGUAGAGAUCUGGAGGAAUACCGGUGGCGAAGGCGGCCCCCGGGACGAAGACUGACGCUCAGGUGCGAAAGCGUGGGGAGCAAACGGG